Molecule: small RNA, 296 nt
Filed under: Streptomyces abyssalis
Lineage: Bacteria; Bacillati; Actinomycetota; Actinomycetes; Kitasatosporales; Streptomycetaceae
Description: 5' ureB small RNA
Rfam family: 5' ureB small RNA
Source: Rfam by way of RNAcentral
CCUCGUCGACAAGUUGGGGACACACGAAGUGGACGUGGGUGUCCACACCCCCCGCGGUGAGGAUCUUGCCGUUCCCGGCGAUGAUCUCGGUCUCGGGCCCGAUGACGAGAGCGGGGUCCACGCCGUCCAUGAUGUCCGGAUUUCCCGCCUUGCCCAGUGCGGUGACGCGGCCGUCGCGGAUACCGACGUCCGCCUUGACCACGCCCCAGUGGUCCAGGACGAGAGCGCCGGUCACGACGGUGUCGGGCGCGCCUUCCGCGCGGGUCGUGCGGGCCUGGCCCAUGGACUCGCGGAUG